CCUAUACAGGUGUUGCAUGGCUGUCGUCAGCUCGUGUCGUGAGAUGUUCGGUUAAGUCCGCUAACGAGCGCAACCCUCGUCGUAUGUUAUAUGUGUCAUACGAGACUGCCGGUAAAAAGCCGGAGGAAGGUGAGGAUGAUGUCAAGUCAGCAUGACCUUUAUAUCCAGGGCUACACACACGCUACAAUGGUCUGUACAAUGGGUAGCCAAGCCGCGAGGCGGAGCCAAUCCUGAAAGCAGGCCUCAGUUCAGAUUGCAGUCUGCAACUCGACUGCAUGAAGCCGGAGUUGCUAGUAACCGCAGGUCAGCAAUACUGCGGUGAAUACGUUCCCGGGUCUU
RNAcentral lists this ribosomal RNA (339 nucleotides) under uncultured Anaerolineaceae bacterium. RNAcentral's name for it is "bacterial SSU rRNA". It matches the Rfam family "Bacterial small subunit ribosomal RNA", at positions 1029 to 1382 of the family's 1533-position model. Lineage: Bacteria; Bacillati; Chloroflexota; Anaerolineae; Anaerolineales; Anaerolineaceae. The record is from RNAcentral.